Molecule: long non-coding RNA, 231 nt
Filed under: Elaeis guineensis (African oil palm)
Lineage: Eukaryota; Viridiplantae; Streptophyta; Magnoliopsida; Arecales; Arecaceae
Description: long non-coding RNA (EGUI_LNC041497)
Source: RNAcentral
GAUCACCAUGAAAACUUGCAAGCAACUCACUGUGCUUUGGUGCUGAACUAUCUGUAUUUCUAAUAUAGUGAUGGAAGGCUAUUGGGUAUAGUCAAGUACUUGUAAAAUUUGUGUGAGUUAAGAUGGGAUAGACUCCUUCGGAUUACAAGAGUUAAUGCAUUAUUAUAUUUUAAUUUAGUAAAAUAUUGAUUAGGAUAAUCUAUGUGAUCUGUCACAGGAUUUGAAAGGUUG